AGAGUUUGAUCAUGGCUCAGCCUGAACGCUGGCGGCGUGGCUAAGACAUGCAAGUCGCACGGUGUAGCAAUACACAGUGGCGAACGGGUGAGUAAUGUAUCGCUAACGUACCCCGGUCUCUGGGAUAGCUGCUCGAAAGGGCAGGUAAUACCAGAUAAGACCACAGUGAGGAAUCUCACAGUGCUCAAAGGUCCGCCGGACCGGGAGCGGGCGAUAUCGUAUCAGCUAGUUGGUAAGGUAACGGCUUACCAAGGCGACGACGCGUAGCCGGACUGAGAGGUCGGCCGGCCACAUCGGGACUGAGACACUGCCCGGACUCCUACGGGGGGCUGCAGUAACGAAUCUUCCGCAAUGCACGAAAGUGUGACGGAGCGACGCCGCGUGGAGGAUGAAGUCCUUCGGGAUGUAAACUCCUGUCAGGGGUAAGAAAGUUCUGAUCUAUCCCAGAGGAAGUGGCGACUAACUCUGUGCCAGCAGCCGCGGUAAUUC
Molecule: ribosomal RNA, 489 nt
Filed under: uncultured bacterium
Lineage: Bacteria
Description: bacterial SSU rRNA
Rfam family: Bacterial small subunit ribosomal RNA
Source: RNAcentral